RNAcentral lists this ribosomal RNA (246 nucleotides) under uncultured bacterium. RNAcentral describes it as "partial 16S ribosomal RNA". It matches the Rfam family "Bacterial small subunit ribosomal RNA", at positions 90 to 339 of the family's 1533-position model. The record is from RNAcentral.
GGCGAGUGGCGGACGGGUGAGGAAUAUAUCGGAAUCUACCCUUUCGUGGGGGAUAACGUAGGGAAACUUACGCUAAUACCGCAUACGAACUGAGGUUGAAAGCGGCGGACCGCAAGGCGUCGCGCGGAUGGAUGAGCCGAUAUCCGAUUAGCUAGUUGGCGGGGUAAAAGCCCACCAAGGCAUCGAUCAGUAGCUGGUCUGAGAGGACGACCAGCCACACUGGAACUGAGACACGGUCCAGACUCC